CAAUAAAAGUAUCAAGAAGCUUAUCAGCCGCGGUAAACGCCCCUGAUGAGUUAGGUGUCGUUCAAGGCAACUGGACCGAAGAUUUUUCCGGCGGCACCGCACCCAUUAAUUGGCUGGGAAGCGUAGACAUUUUAAAUCAAUACAUUAAAACAAAAAAACCUGUC
Long non-coding RNA from Acyrthosiphon pisum (pea aphid), 164 nucleotides. RefSeq lists it as uncharacterized. Lineage: Eukaryota; Metazoa; Arthropoda; Insecta; Hemiptera; Aphididae. The transcript has 2 exons. The record is from RefSeq and is a predicted model, not a curated record.